CUUCACUAUGGCCUAGUUCAGGGUUCCUCAGUCAACUAUGCGAAGAGAUCUUUUCAGCACCCACAAAACGGAGUUCCUCCCCCCCCCCCCCAGCAAUGAAAACCUAAAGAGAUGUGUUGCAAAUACUGUUUCUCUUUUUCUUUAUAUGUUUUGAGAGACAGCACGUGAGCAAGGGAGGGGCAGAGAGAGAGAGGGAGACGGAGAAUCUCAAGCAGGCUCCUUGCUGUCAGCACGGAGCCCGACUCGGGGCUUGAACUCGCUCACGGGAGAUCAUGACCUGAGUUGGAUGCUUAACCCACUGAACCACCCAGGCGACCCGCAAAUACUGCGUUUCUUUGUUUAAGGGGGUGGCACAUUUUAGCGUGGGUAGGAGGAGAAUUUUCCACGUCCCCCCCCCCCCCCCCGCCUUGCUUGGGGUAUCGCAGGAGGAAAGGAGGGUUGGAGGAGAAUCAUCUUGGUUUGCUUGGGUGACUUGAUAUCAUGACAAGGGAUGGGGGGACGGCCUUCCCCUCCCCGGGCCUUCUCUCCACCCAUGGCCCUGAGGGGUAAAGUGGCUGAAGGUGUGUGUGACCACGCCCGGGUGGUUGAUGGAGCAGGGUGAGGUAUCCCCAGAUAUGAGUAUGAUAUGGGGAGGGGGUUCUCAGUUUGUGAAUUCAAAAGGGACCGCGUGUACGGAGGGGGGAUGGGCUGGGAGGCGUGGAUCCGGUUGCGGACCCCCAGCUGCCCGUGUGUCCGCAGGUGUUGCCCACGCCAUGUCCAGCAAAGAGAAGCAGAGACUGAGUGGCCAGGGAAGCGCCAGCCGUGGUGCCCGCCAAAGAGCCUCCGAGGCCACCCUGGCCUCGAAGCCUGGGGACGCCGCCCUGCCUCCCCAGCCGGAGUCCGACUCCUUCAAGGAGGAGCUUGAGCCAACAUCGGAGGAGCCCGAGGCACAGAAAGAAUUGCCGAAGCCUGAGGCGGAUGUGGUAAGUUAGGGAUUUCCCUGAGCCAACUCUUCCUCCCCGGGAGCCAGCCAGUCCGAGGGUUAGCUGUAAAAUGGAGGACGAGGCGUUCUCUCCAGUCUGUCGCUGGCGUCUACUCCCUCUCCACUGGGAGCCUGCUUGCCACAGAUCCAGCUCGCUGAGUCACGAGAAAGUUCUCCGUGCCCCGCACCCCUCCAGAGGGACGGGGCUUUGCGCGAGGGACAGGGCUCUUCACUUUCCCUUCCUUGUGUCCCCGCCUUUUUUUGUUUGUUGAGUUUUCAAAUGUCUUUAAUUUUUAUUUUUCAGUGUUUGUUUAUCAGAGAGAGAGGGACAGAGGGUGGGAGAGAGCGAGGGAGACACAGGUUCCGAAGCAGGCUUCAGGCUCCGAGCUGUCAGCACAGAGCCCGAUGCGGGGCUUGAACUCGUGAACUAUGAGAUCGUGACCUGAGCUGACGUCAGAUGCUCAACCGACUGAGCCACCCAGGCGCCCCGCCCCUUGUCUCCCCCGCCUUGAAUCAAACCGGGACAGGCUCACCGCGUAAGGCCCAGCUGUGCUCGCUGUGGCUUCGUGCCAAGAACAAGAACUCUCCGGGCCCGGGUGUUAGCAGCCGAGCACUGUGUGCUAUAUCCGUGCUAUUUUUAUUUGUACUUCUUUGAUUUCAAGUGACACUGAACGGUUUUUUCAUAUUUUCAGUUUCUCUUUUUGCGACACGACACGUCCGUUUGUGUCUGUUUAUUUACUGGGGUGGUUGCGUUUUCCUCGUUGGUCCACCCUUGGCUCUACAUGGGAGACAUUUUAGAGCAUGAAGUUUUCUCGACUUGGAAACUUCAGGUGAAGGAGAUUCCUCCUCAUCUUCCAGGAGCACUGGGAGAAGGACAGGGUGACUCCUUGCGUUUGUCCUCAUGUCUUCCGGUUCCUUUAUUUAGAGGAGUUCUCCAGACUUUUUUUUUUUUCUAGUCACCACUUACAAUUUUUUUGCCGUCUAACUCGUGCGUUCUUCGGUGUUUCCCAGUCUUGUCUCUUCCCCUUCGUUCUCCCUCUCUGCUAAUGCUAGUUUGCUUUUUUUUUUUUUUUAAGUUUAUUUACUUUGAAAGAGAGAGAGACAGAGAAUGCACUCACAGGAGGGGCAGAGAAAAAGGGAGAGACAGAGACAGGGUGGAGCCUGACUUGGGGCUCGAACCCACAAACCAUAAGAUGAUGAACUGAGCCGAAAUCAAGAGUCAGACACUUAACCGACUGAGCUGCCCAGGCGCCCCUGCCAGUUGGCUUUGCCUUGACGUCUCCCGUCCGGUGUCCCGGGCCGGCUGCACCCUUCUCCUUUUUCCAGCUCAUCAUCUUGGAGCCUGAUUGCCUGCUUUAGGCUCAUAUCCUACAGGGUCCCUUGAUUGAGUUUUACUCCGAGGUCGAGGAUUGCUGGGCGAGGUGUCUUUGCAACCACAGGCAUAAAGGAGAUAUCUUGGGAAGAUCGUGUCCCCCAUUUUCCUCUGUGGUCCGUUCUAGUUUCACUCGGCGAAGCGAGGGAAUCUCACUGUCUGCUUUCUUCAGAAGCUUGAAACCUGUCAUUCAGCUUAUCUGCAACCUUCCCUUCACCAUCCUGGACCCGUCAGGCUUCUCGCCUCAUGUCCUAUGUCGCCACGUGCGCUUGUGAAUGGGGGAAAGGACGCCUCCUGACGGCUGUACCUGCUUCGACCCUCUGCUCCCCUCCCGUAGAAUCCCCUUUUCCUGUCCCGAGCCGUGCUGACAGGACUGGCGGGUGCGGAAUGGACAGCGGAGCACGAUGCCGUCCUGGAACACUUUGCCCGGGACCCUUCGGAACCCAUCCUCACCAUCUUCAUCGACCCCUGUGUGGGGCUGACGCUGGAGCUGGGCAUGCCUGUACAGGUGGGUGCUCGGCUCUCCCGGACCCCGAGGUGGUCGGCCAGGGAGCUGAGGGUUUGCGUCCCUCCAUCAUCUGAGUCUUACCUCCUGUGCCCAAGGUGUGUUGAGCCUCGUGGUGGGUCCGCUUGACGGUGGAAUACAGAGGCAUGAGGCAGGGUUUUGCUUUCGGCGAUCUCGUGGUCUGGUGGGGGAGACAGACGUAUAGAAACUAUUCACAAUGUGUUAGGAUGCACGGGCGGAGCUUAAUAGGAACUUUAUGGGGACAGUACGGCCAGUGGGAUGCUGGCAAGGCCUGGCGACAGAGGUGACAUUCGAGCUGGAAAAGAAAGGUAAGUCCGAUUUCAUCGCAUCCGGGUGAGAGCUGUGUCGGCAGAGAACGCUUUAUGGGCAAAGAAAAGAGCUGUGGGAGGCGAUCCUGAAAAGGCGGGCUGGGGUCACUUCGCGGAGGGCCUUGUGUUUAUGCUGGAGAAUUUGGCCUCCCUCCCGGAGGGAACUAGCACAGCCUUUCGUGGAUUAGAGAGAGAACGCUUUCAACCGUGUGGAAGACACACGGGCGAGGGGUAAGCCACGGGUAGGGAGACGGUUAAAAGACGGCUAGAGUAGAACGUUAGUGGUGGAAUCUGGGCAUUGCUGUAAACCUCUUGUAACUUUUCUAUAUGUUCGAAGCCUUUGAAAUAAAGUGUUGGAAAAGAGAAAGGCCUUUGCUUUGCUUUUAUUGGCAGCACGUACACAAAACGAUAACGAUAAUGGAGGUGAACAUGGCCGUGCGCCGUGACACAAUUUGGGAAAUGUUCCAGAUCAAACAAAAGCAAAAAUAGCUUGCGGCUUUUUCCUGUACGUUGGCGUCAGGCAGCUACAAAAC
This 3700-nucleotide long non-coding RNA is filed under the name Lynx canadensis (Canada lynx). RNAcentral describes it as "lncRNA (ENSLCNG00005011935.1)". The record is from RNAcentral. Lineage: Eukaryota; Metazoa; Chordata; Mammalia; Carnivora; Felidae.